RNAcentral lists this unclassified non-coding RNA (328 nucleotides) under soil metagenome. Its description in RNAcentral is "partial contains 5.8S ribosomal RNA, internal transcribed spacer 2, and large subunit ribosomal RNA". The stretch from base 1 to 120 matches the Rfam family "5.8S ribosomal RNA", at positions 35 to 154 of the family's 154-position model. The record is from RNAcentral.
GAUGAAGAACGCAGCGAAAUGCGAUAAGUAGUGUGAAUUGCAGAAUUCAGUGAAUCAUCGAAUCUUUGAACGCACAUUGCGCCCCUUGGUAUCCCGAGGGGCAUGCCUGUUCGAGCGUCAUUUCACCACUCAAGCCUGGCUUGGUGUUGGGCGACGUCCUCUUUGGGGACGCGCCUCGAAACGCUCGGCGGCGUGGCACCGGCUUUAAGCGUAGCAGAAUCUUUCGCUUUGGAAGUCGGGGCCCCGUCUGCCGGAAGACCUGCUCGCAAGGUUGACCUCGGAUCAGGCAGGGAUACCCGCUGAACUUAAGCAUACAAUAAGCGGAGGA